AAAAAAUGCAUGGGAGCUCAAGGUCAACCCUUCCAAAUGUAGCGAUCAUGGUUGACUGAAGUACCUUUGGUCAGUAGAAGCAAGGAUUGGCUUAAUCUUGGUUGGUAGCUAUCGUAGCUUGUUCACAUCUUUGGCUUAGAGGUGGGAUUUUCUAUCCAUAUCAUAUACCCCCUACUCCCAAGUCCAAGCCAAGACUGGGUUGGAUGAAAGGAGUAUGCUUGCUUCUUUGGCCAAACUAAGGACAUGUAUCAUGUGCUUGGUCCUUC
RNAcentral lists this long non-coding RNA (266 nucleotides) under Elaeis guineensis (African oil palm). RNAcentral describes it as "long non-coding RNA (EGUI_LNC052314)". The record is from RNAcentral. Lineage: Eukaryota; Viridiplantae; Streptophyta; Magnoliopsida; Arecales; Arecaceae.